RNAcentral lists this transfer RNA (85 nucleotides) under Felis catus (domestic cat). It matches the Rfam family "tRNA". From Rfam's summary of the family: Transfer RNA (tRNA) molecules are approximately 80 nucleotides in length. Their secondary structure includes four short double-helical elements and three loops (D, anti-codon, and T loops). The record is from Rfam by way of RNAcentral. Lineage: Eukaryota; Metazoa; Chordata; Mammalia; Carnivora; Felidae.
GCCUGGGUGGCUCAGUCAGUUGAGCAUCUGACUUCGGCUCAGGUUAUAAUCUCACGGUUUGUGGGUUCGAGCCCCGCGUCAGGCU